Molecule: ribosomal RNA, 816 nt
Filed under: Yamaguchiella coerulescens
Lineage: Eukaryota; Metazoa; Arthropoda; Thecostraca; Balanomorpha; Tetraclitidae
Description: SSU rRNA
Rfam family: Eukaryotic small subunit ribosomal RNA
Source: RNAcentral
GGUUAAAAAGCUCGUAGUUGGAUAUCAGUGCGUGUCCGGUCCGGUAUGCCUGGCGGCGUCGCUCGCGCGGCACUGCUGGGCUCCCAAAUAUCGGCUGGCCGCAUUCAAUCGUGCCGGAUCCGUCGACGGGCCGUUCUUCGGAGGGGCCUGUUGGCGACCGGCGACGUUACCUUGAACAAAUUAGAGUGCUCAAAGCAGGCUCUGAAUGCCUGUAUACAUAUUCAUGGAAUUGGAGAAUACGUCCCUGGCUCGAUUUGGUUGGUUUUGAGAGUCGAAGGGAAAUGAUUAAUAGGGACUGACGGAGGCAUUCGUAUUGCGACGCGAGGGGUGAAAUCCUGUGACCGUCGCACGACGAACUACUGCGAAAGCAUUUGCCGAGAAUGUUUUCAUUAGUCAAGAACGAAAGUUAGAGGUUCGAAGGCGAUCAGAUACCGCCCUAGUUCUAACCGUAAACGAUGUCGACCAGCAAUCCGCAACGGUCACUACACGGACUGUGCGGGCAGCUUCCCCGGGGAAACCAGAGUUUUUGGACUCCGGGGGAAGUAUGGUUGCAAAGCUGAAACUUAAAGGAAUUGACGGAAGGGCACCACCAGGAGUGGAGCUUGCGGCUUAAUUUGACUCAACACGGGACAACUCACCAGGCCCGGACACCGUAAGGAUUGACAGACUGAUAGCUCUCUCUUGAUUCAGUGGGUGGUGGUGCAUGGCCGUUCUUAGUUGGUGGAGUGAUUUGUCUGGUUUAUUCCGAUAACGAACGAGACUCUGGCCUAUUAAACUUGACACUGUCAGUCUCUUGUGACUGCGGUGCGCUUCUUA